Molecule: non-coding RNA, 1454 nt
Organism: Podarcis muralis (Common wall lizard)
Lineage: Eukaryota; Metazoa; Chordata; Lepidosauria; Squamata; Lacertidae
Source: RefSeq, a predicted model, not a curated record
AGAACUUACAGCUGUCAGUUCUGAGGGAAGGCAGGCAAUGACCCACAGCCCAGGUGGGGCUCGCUAGCUUGGGGAGGAGGUGUGUGAUUCCUCAUCUGGAGAAGGUUCAGUGAUCAGCUGUGAGGGCAGACAAGCCUUGUGCUUGUUCCAACUUUAGGCACAUACUGUAAAUAUGAGUGUUUUGCCUGCAUAGUUUUGACUAAUGCCAUCGCUGUGAACAGCUGCAAGAAUAUAAGCUGGCUGUAAUUACUUUGUGCGUAAGAGAGAAACAUGGUGGAAGAAAUCAGAAUGCGAGAACGCCGUCCGGUGGUGUCAGAAAACGGAAAGGAGGGAAACAAACACAAAGAUCCAUGGAAACAGAACAAUCAGUAAAGAUUUCAUGAAGGUGUCAGAAAAGAAGAUUCAGCCGGGUGGCUCGGAAACAAACUGUGAAGUGAAUAAAUUCAUGCAGGAAAGGGAAAGGGAAAGGAUCAUCUUUGCUAUAGUCUGUGAUUAUGUGCUGCCAAGACAUUUUGCUCAAUGUCUGGCCUUGAUGCUUUGUAAGUAACUGCUGCGUGUAUUCCUACAAUCUCUGGUGCAGUAUUGCAGUUGCUGGAUCAUUGAAAGUCAAGGGAAGAGCUGAGCUGCUGGCCUAAAAUCACAAUGAUAACGCUAACAGCCUAGGAUCAAAGGAAAUGGAUCUGGUCGUCUGGCACUUUACGAAAGAAGGAAGAGGAGCUGAGUGGAAGUGAUUAGGUUGAGGCUAAAAAUAACAUUCGUGGUUACAAUAAAGUGAUGCAAUUGGAAUACAUGGGUUCCAAUUCUUAUUUUCCUGAAAGUAGUUACAAUCAUUGAGAAGUUGAACAAACACUGAUAAGGCACAAGGAUACAAAGGGGCCAAUUCCACUGCAAAGACGCCCAAUGUAUCAAUUGCAUAAGGGUCACUUUAGGGAUUCACAUUUAUAAGUAGUAAAGACACGAUUACAAGAAAAAUACCUAGAUACAAUUUAAAAUUACCUGGAUACAAUUACAAGGAAAUACUUGGAUACAAUUAUUUUUUUAAAAAUACUUGGAUACAAUUAUAAAAAUAGACAUAGGAUAAAUUCAGGAAAUAGGGUAAUAGGCCGUACAGGGAAGAAAGAAAAAUGCUUUAUUUGACAGAAAGGAAAGAAGGGAUUUGAAGUAGGGGAAGAACGGGAGAAGCACAUUAAAAGGAGAGCAGACUAAAAGGCAAAAUUGAGGAAAAGGUUCAUAUAUCUCUUAGGUUGUCUUCAUUUGGUUUAUUUGGUCCUGGUUUUCAGCUUCUUUGGCUAUUCUUCUACAUCAGCUGAAAAUCCAAAGACCCAGAUCCAGACAGUGCAAAAUUGUGUUAUGAAUUGUCGUUGUUGCUGUUUUGCAGUAGGAAGUUAAUCUAGAUGAUACUGUGAUAGGAAUUUUAUGGUCUUAGAUAUAUGGUAAUGUUCAUAAGUGUACCA